RNAcentral lists this ribosomal RNA (836 nucleotides) under uncultured microorganism. RNAcentral describes it as "bacterial SSU rRNA". It matches the Rfam family "Bacterial small subunit ribosomal RNA", at positions 56 to 887 of the family's 1533-position model. The record is from RNAcentral.
UGCAGUCGAGCGGCAGCGCCGUGUAUCAUCCAUGGACGGCUGCCGGCAAACGGGUGCCGAACAUUUUCGCUCCCUUCCUUUAACUGGAAAAUGUGCCCUCACAAGAGGGAUUAAUACUCCGUACAUCCCUAUAUGGCAUCUUAACGGGAUUAUAGCCCUCGGGCGGUUGAAGAUGGGCGUGCCCCUGAUUACAAUGUUGGCGGGGUAACGGCCCACCAUCUCUGCCAUCGGUAACUGGUGUGAGACCACGACCAGUCACACGGGCACUGAGACACGGGCCCGACUCCGACGGGAGGCAGCAUUAAGGAAUAUUGGUCAAUGGACGCAAGUCUGAACCAGCCAUGCCUCGUGGAGGUUUAAGGCCCUCUGGGUUGUAAACUCCUUUUAUCUGGGAAGAAAUGCCAGUUUUCUAAUUGGUUUGACGGUACCAGAGGAAUAAGCACCGGCUAACUCCGUGCCAGCGGCCGCGGUAAUACGGAGGGUGCAAGCGUUAUCCGGAUUCACUGGGUUUAAAGGGUGCGUAUGCGGGCAGGUAAUUCCGUGGUGAAAUCUCUGAACUUAACUCACAAACUGCCAUGGAUACUAUUUGUCUUGAAUGUUGUGGAGGUAAGCGGAAUAUGUCAUGUAGCGGUGAUAUGCUUACACAUGACAUAGAACACCAAUUGCGAACGCAGCUUACUACACAGAUAUUGACGCUGAGGCACGAAAGCGUCGGGGAUCAAACAGGAUUAGAUACCCUGGUAGUCCACGCACUCAACGAUGAUUACUCGACGUCAGCGAUGCACUGUUGGUGUCUGAGCGAAGGCAUUAAGUAAGUCCACCCUGGGAGUACGAUC